This 803-nucleotide ribosomal RNA is filed under the name uncultured bacterium. RNAcentral describes it as "bacterial SSU rRNA". It matches the Rfam family "Bacterial small subunit ribosomal RNA", at positions 8 to 796 of the family's 1533-position model. The record is from RNAcentral.
AGAGUUUGAUCCUGGCUCAGGACGAACGCUGGCGGCGUGCCUAAUACAUGCAAGUCGAGCGAAUGACGAGAAGCUUGCUUCUCUGAUUUAGCGGCGGACGGGUGAGUAACACGUGGGCAACCUGCCCUACAGAUCGGGAUAACUCAGGGAAACCUGGGCUAAUACCGGAUAAUCCUUCGAAUCACAUGUUUUGAAGUUGAAAGGCGCUUCGGCGUCACUGUAGGAUGGGCCCGCGGUGCAUUAGCUAGUUGGUGGGGUAACGGCCUACCAAGGCAACGAUGCAUAGCCGACCUGAGAGGGUGAUCGGCCACAUUGGGACUGAGACACGGCCCAAACUCCUACGGGAGGCAGCAGUAGGGAAUCUUCCACAAUGGACGAAAGUCUGAUGGAGCAACGCCGCGUGAGUGAUGAAGGUUUUCGGAUCGUAAAACUCUGUUGUAAGGGAAGAACAAGUACGUUAGGAAAUGAACGUACCUUGACGGUACCUUAUUAGAAAGCCACGGCUAACUACGUGCCAGCAGCCGCGGUAAUACGUAGGUGGCAAGCGUUGUCCGGAUUUAUUGGGCGUAAAGCGCGCGCAGGUGGUUUCUUAAGUCUGAUGUGAAAGCCCACGGCUCAACCGUGGAGGGUCAUUGGAAACUGGGGAACUUGAGUGCAGAAGAGGAUAGUGGAAUUCCAAGUGUAGCGGUGAAAUGCGUAGAGAUUUGGAGGAACACCAGUGGCGAAGGCGACUGUCUGGUCUGUAACUGACACUGAGGCGCGAAAGCGUGGGGAGCAAACAGGAUUAGAUACCCUGGUAGUCC